GAUCCUGGCUCAGGAUGAACGCUAGCUACAGGCUUAACACAUGCAAGUCGAGGGGAAACGACAUCGAAAGCUUGCUUUUGAUGGGCGUCGACCGGCGCACGGGUGAGUAACGCGUAUCCAACCUGCCCAUCACUUGGGAAUAACCUUGCGAAGGUAAGACUAAUGCCCAAUGAUAUCCCACGAAGGCAUCCGAACGGGAUUAAAGAUUUAUCGGUGAUGGAUGGGGAUGCGUCUGAUUAG
Molecule: ribosomal RNA, 240 nt
Filed under: uncultured bacterium
Lineage: Bacteria
Description: partial 16S ribosomal RNA
Rfam family: Bacterial small subunit ribosomal RNA
Source: RNAcentral